This 203-nucleotide ribosomal RNA is filed under the name uncultured bacterium. RNAcentral describes it as "partial 16S ribosomal RNA". It matches the Rfam family "Bacterial small subunit ribosomal RNA", at positions 524 to 724 of the family's 1533-position model. The record is from RNAcentral.
UACGAAGGGGCUAGCGUUGCUCGGAAUUACUGGGCGUAAAGCGCACGUAGGCGGCUUUCUAAGUCAGGGGUGGAAAUCCCGGGGCUCAACCCCGGAACGGCCUUUGAUACUGGGUGUCUUGAGUUCGGAAGAGGUGAGUGGAAUUGCGAGUGUAGAGGUGAAAUUCGUAGAUAGUUCGCAGGAACACCAGUAGGCGAAGGCGG